Molecule: long non-coding RNA, 508 nt
Organism: Physella acuta
Lineage: Eukaryota; Metazoa; Mollusca; Gastropoda; Physidae
Source: RefSeq, a predicted model, not a curated record
AGCUCUGGAUAUCCCAAUGGUUACAACAAAAACUCGACUUGUUCCUGGAGAAUUGAAGGGGAGGCUGGAACUAGGAUAUUUUUAAACAUCACAGACUUUGAUGUUUCGCCGUGUGAGUCCGCCUUUCUUGUCGCAUACGAUGGCCAAAACACACGAGAGAAUCUAAAUCUCCCAAUAUGUGGUCAAGUACCUGUAUUUUCUGCCACCUCAUCAAGCAACUUCGUCUUAAUCGCCUUUAUAACAUCAGGGCUUAUUAACCCUGUGUCUUACAGAGGAUUUAAGCUAAACUAUGUUAUUAAAGAUAUAUCGUAUGACAGACCCUGUUCCCUAGUGGACCAGUGCCGAAGUUAUUUGACUUGUGUUAGUGGCCACUGUAGUUGUCCAAAUGACACAUAUCACAACAGUUCUACACUUAGCUGUCACAAAAAACUUUCUUUCAAGGAGAAAUGUGUGGAAACACUACAAUGUAGGAAUAACUUGCAGUGUUUGUAUGGCACGUGCUCCUGUG